GACGAACGCUGGCGGCGUGCUUAACACAUGCAAGUCGAACGCUGAAGCUCAGCUUUUGUUGGGUGGAUGAGUGGCGAACGGGUGAGUAACACGUGAGUAACCUGCCCCCUUCUUUGGGAUAACGCCCGGAAGCGGGUGCUAAUACUGGAUAUUCACUGGUCUUCGCAUGGGGGUUGGUGGAAAGGGUUUUUCUGGUGGGGGAUGGGUUCGCGGCCUAUCAGCUUGUUGGUGGGGUGAUGGCCUACCAAGGCUUUGACGGGUAGCCGGCCUGAGAGGGUGACCGGUCACAUUGGGACUGAGAUACGGCCCAGACUCCUACGGGAGGCAGCAGUGGGGAAUAUUGCACAAUGGGCGCAAGCCUGAUGCAGCGACGCCGCGUGAGGGAUGGAGGCCUUCGGGUUGUGAACCUCUUUCGCUCAUGGUCAAGCCGCAACAAUGGUUGUGGUGAGGGUAGUGGGUAAAGAAGCGCCGGCUAACUACGUG
RNAcentral lists this ribosomal RNA (483 nucleotides) under uncultured bacterium. RNAcentral describes it as "partial 16S ribosomal RNA". It matches the Rfam family "Bacterial small subunit ribosomal RNA", at positions 28 to 507 of the family's 1533-position model. The record is from RNAcentral.